UGUAAAUAAGUGUUUUUUAUGUUUUAAAAUAUGUCUGUACGUAUAAAUUUACAUAGAAUACGAUUGACAUGUGUUUUUGUUGUGUGAGAUCAACAGUUCGCGUGGUGUGUGGGGUAUUUAAAAGCUUGAAUUUUAAGUGUUUGUUUUUCAGUAACGUACGCUUUGUGUAGUUCGCGAAAUGGCGCUGCUCUGUUGUCUACGAGUCGUAGUACGACCACACCCUGUCUCUGUCGCUUUAAGAUUGACAACUAAUGUAUCCAAUGAAAAACGUUUUGCCAGUUUUCGGGCAAGAUAAUUGGCUGUCGAUGACAUCAUGUAGUAGAGAAUGUGGGCGGGCUCUGAGCUGCAAGGGGAGAGUGGCGCGAGCGGAGGUCCUGCGGGCGCCAUUAGAUGGAAGUGUAGGUAUCGGAGUGAUGUGUAGCCACAGAUUUUGUUACUGUUUUAUUUACCUACACAUAUAUAGAAGUUUAAGCGAAAUGUGUGUAUAUAACGCCACGUUCUGUUAGUGUCGUUUUAUAUCGACAAAACGGGAUGUCGUAUCUUCAAUGUACAAGCAGUGGUUGUUUCGGAGACGGAGAAGCUGUUGUACAAGAUGGCGCCUGAGGCUCCCUGUGGGGUUCGUCGAGAGCGAGCAGCGCGGGGGCGAGACUCGGCGCGCUCCCGGCACCGAGCGUGGGCACGAGCGAUGGGCAAGAAGCCAAGACAGGAGCUUGAACUUACUGUUUUUAACCGUGCGUUUUAUAAAACAACGGAUUUCGAGCAGGCUACUAAAUCUGAGGUGGGCUCCAGAUGGAUGAACGCUGGAUGUCACAACGUUUUGCAGCUGUGUUCUAGGAGGCUGUGUUGUCCAGUGGUUAAAGACACAGGCUUGGACCCAGGAAGUCCCCGGUUCAAAUCCCAGCUCACACACUGUGUGACCCUGAGCAAGUCACUUAACCUCCUUGUGCUCCGUCUUUCGGGUGAGACGUUGUUGCAAGUGACUCUGCAGCUGAUGCAUAGUUCAUACACCCUAGUCUCCUAUCUUGUAAAGUGCUUUGUGAUGGUGGUCUGCUAUGAAAGGUGUUAUAUAAAAUAAAGAGUAUUGUUAUUA
Long non-coding RNA from Acipenser ruthenus (sterlet), 1090 nucleotides. RefSeq lists it as uncharacterized. NCBI's taxonomy places the organism in Eukaryota, Metazoa, Chordata, Actinopteri, Acipenseriformes, Acipenseridae. The record is from RefSeq and is a predicted model, not a curated record. The transcript is spliced from 2 exons.